CUGAAUUGAUAGUACCGAGCACUGUUGAGGAUUGAGUCGAAACCAACUGUAAAGAAGUAUGACGAUUGGACUCUCUACAAUCCAGAUCAGACGGAGGGUGCAUGAAGGAUCAGAGAUCACAUUGAUGGAGUAGAGAUUGUGGGCCAUCCAUAAAGCAAUUGCUAAACCAAGUCCACAGAUCAUAUGGAUCGAAAAUACUUGCAGAGCUGAUAAUGACUGGGAGGAAUUCUCUGCGUUGGAAGCUUUUGCAAUACUGCUUUUCUUCUGCUUCUUCUCUUUUUCCUUCAUCUCUGCCACCGUGAGUUGGUUCAGUACCGUGA
RNAcentral lists this unclassified non-coding RNA (320 nucleotides) under Hevea brasiliensis (rubber tree). The record is from RNAcentral. Lineage: Eukaryota; Viridiplantae; Streptophyta; Magnoliopsida; Malpighiales; Euphorbiaceae.